Molecule: ribosomal RNA, 432 nt
Filed under: uncultured bacterium
Lineage: Bacteria
Description: partial 16S ribosomal RNA
Rfam family: Bacterial small subunit ribosomal RNA
Source: RNAcentral
AACGAACGCUGGCGGCAGGCUUAACACAUGCAAGUCGAACGCACCUUUCGGGGUGAGUGGCAGACGGGUGAGUAACGCGUGGGAAUCUACCCUUCUCUACGGGAUAGCUCCGGGAAACUGGAAUUAAUACCGUAUACGUCCUGAGGGAGAAAGAUUUAUCGUGGAAGGAUGAGCCCGCGUUGGAUUAGCUAGUUGGUGGGGUAAAGGCCUACCAAGGCGACGAUCCAUAGCUGGUCUAAGAGGAUGAUCAGCCACAUUGGGACUGAGACACGGCCCAAACUCCGACGGGAGGCAGCAGGGGGGAAUAUUGGACAAUGGGCGCAAGCCUGAUCCAGCCAGGCCGCGUGAGUGAUGAAGGCCCUAGGGUUGUAAAGCUCUUUCAGUGGGGACGAUAAUGACGGUACCCACAGAAGAAGCCCCGGCUAACUUCGU